Molecule: non-coding RNA, 1380 nt
Organism: Microcebus murinus (gray mouse lemur)
Lineage: Eukaryota; Metazoa; Chordata; Mammalia; Primates; Cheirogaleidae
Source: RefSeq, a predicted model, not a curated record
GAGAGGUGGGGGGGCAGGCAAGACUUUUUUAAAGGUCAAUAGACCUGAGUGAUGUGCAGGAGGUUUUAGAGAAGAAAAAAUGUAAAAAUGGUAAGCCGUAUACUAUAAAUGACCUCCACUGUUUUCAAGAAAUGCAAGCAAGCCUCUUCUUUGACUUGACUGGUAAUUUCCCGACCCCGUCUGUUUCGUAUUCUCCACAUGGCCAUGGUCUUCUUUUGUCUGGGAUUAUUUCUGCACUGUGAGCACAAGCAUUUGUUUGAUGUCCCAGACAUCAAAUAUACUGUAUACUCUCCGAGUGGCCAAAGGAAGCAGGAUUCUCCCUUUUGAAAACUCCACCGGCGAGAGUAACAAAAGGCAGUCUGCACUGCAGACACAAAGGAGGGGAAGAGAGAGGAAAGGAUGGGACCGGUCAGGGGUGAUUUCCGUCCUCCCCCUGCCAGCAACACACACCGCGGGGGGGACAGAGGCAAGGCUCGCCCGGGGCUGUGCUGCGAGGACAUGUAACAGCAGUAAACCGCCUGCGAGCCAGAAAGGAAAUCGAUACAGCCGCGAAGGGGUGGCCCGCCUCUGUCCAUGGGCUUCUAGUUCGUGCUGGCUGAGGGGGAGACCUUCUUGGGACAGAAACGCCUCCUGUGUCCACGCCUCCACCUUUGGACUGAUCUUCGGCAUAGGUUUCUUGCUAAAUUUUUGCAUUCUGUGAACUGCCUUCUGUCUUUUCCAAGUUCGCUGCAUAGAUAGACAGUUAGAUAACAGACCCGCAGAGAGAAAGUAGGGAAGGAAAUCCUAAGUGUUGUACGCACAGGACCUGCCAAGUAUAACCGACUUACCUGGCACCUGGCCGGUAUGCAGGAGGCGCUCUGUUCCCCCUUGGCGGCUUCGGCCCUCAUCCUCUGUUCACUCCGCCCUGACACGCCGCCACGGAUGAGUGCGCAAAUGGUAGCCGAAUGUCCAAAUCCCUGUCGAGAUGCAACUCGGUUGGAUCAGUUGCUGCUCUGCCAACAUUCCAGUGCAUUUACGUGGAAGCGUGUCGAAGCUUCUGGUAAAAAGCAUGCGGGGUUCAUUCAUGUUCCUCAUUUCUGAAGGUGACAUAACUGAAAGAACACUCCUGAGAAUACUUAGGUCAAGAACAUUUGGGGCUUACCUACUAGGCUCCCGGUGUAUAAAAUUAUGAGGACUGCCCAUGAAUUGUAAGUAUAAGGCGAGGAAACGGUUUUCACAAGCCACGCAGUUAUUGCCGUCAUUGUAGAAGGGCGAGCUGGGGAGUUUGUUCUUUCAGAAAAAAAUAACUGUCAAAUGUAGACACUUAGACGACACCCAUAUAACUUCAUAGUCAAAAGCUUUUAAGGCACACCUGUCUUCAAAAGGCUUAUUUGUUUGUUA